UAAGGAAUAUUGGUCAAUGGAGGCAACUCUGAACCAGCCAUGCCGCGUGCAGGAAGAAGGCCCUAUGGGUCGUAAACUGCUUUUGAACAAGAGAAAACCCCGGUACGUGUACUGGGUUGAUAGUAUUGUUAGAAUAAGCAUCGGCUAACUUCGUGCCAGCAGCCGCGGUAAGACGAAGGAUGCAAGCGUUAUCCGGAUUCAUUGGGUUUAAAGGGUGCGUAGGCGGACUGAUAAGUCAGUGGUGAAAUCUCUCGGCUUAACCGAGAAACUGCCAUUGAUACUGUUAGUCUAGAGUACAGAUGAUGUGGGCGGAAUAUGACAUGUAGUGGUGAAAUACUUAGAUAUGUCAUAGAACACCGAUUGCGAAGGCAGCUCACAAAACUGUAACUGACGCUGAGGCACGAAAGUGCGGGAUCAAACAGGAUUAGAUACCCCCGUAGUCCCUGAGCGGCUGGCAAGGCGCAU
This 465-nucleotide ribosomal RNA is filed under the name uncultured bacterium. RNAcentral describes it as "bacterial SSU rRNA". It matches the Rfam family "Bacterial small subunit ribosomal RNA", at positions 355 to 825 of the family's 1533-position model. The record is from RNAcentral.